Molecule: long non-coding RNA, 574 nt
Organism: Acipenser ruthenus (sterlet)
Lineage: Eukaryota; Metazoa; Chordata; Actinopteri; Acipenseriformes; Acipenseridae
Exons: 4
Source: RefSeq, a predicted model, not a curated record
AAAAAAUUCCUCCGCGAUAUUCAUGGAACAAUCCCAAGAACCACAAAGUUAUAUCGCCAGAGGAAUGAAAUUUCAACAAAGAGAAGAAAAAUAAAUGAAACAGCUGGCCAGGAUCACAUUGUCACGGAUUACCUUACACAAGAACCCUUAAUUGAAAGUGAUGAGUGCAGUAGUGAGGGUGAAGAGGCAGGCCAGAGCCUCAAUGAUAUCGAGGACCUGAAUGUAGAGGAAGGACAGGAUGUUUUGGGCCAUGUUCAUGAUGGAGAGACUACUGACUGCUACCAACAAAACCAUCUACAAAAUGAAUGUCUGUUUGAUUCAACAUCUUUUGAUGCAGAAAACCCUAUUCAUGAAGGAUCAAACAUUACAAAGGGACAGUUACUUGCAAUGUUAAUGGCCCAUACACUUAAACAUCAUGUGUCUGGUGUAGCAUUAAAGGAGAUGCUGGAAAUGUUAAAUAGAAUUGCUCCAGGUUGUGUGCGUAACACUAUGUGGUAUCUUAGCAAAACUUUCUUUAAGCUAGCUGACAAAGCCCAAAUACAUUAUUAUUGUCCAGAAUGCCUUUUUUUCCUAG